This 468-nucleotide ribosomal RNA is filed under the name uncultured bacterium. RNAcentral describes it as "partial 16S ribosomal RNA". It matches the Rfam family "Bacterial small subunit ribosomal RNA", at positions 28 to 507 of the family's 1533-position model. The record is from RNAcentral.
GACGAACGCUGGCGGCAUGCUUAACACAUGCAAGUCGAACGGAAAGGCCCUGCUUUUGUGCGGUGCUCGAGUGACGAACGGGGGAGUAACCCGUGAGUACCCUGCCCUUGACUUUGAGAUAACCUCAGGCAACUGGGGCUAAUACCGGAUAAGAGCUACUGCUGCUUGAUCGGGGUUGGACAGUUUCGGCGGUUGGGGAUGGACUCGCGGCGUAUCAGCUUGUUGGUGGGGUAGUGGCUUACCAAGGCUUUGACGGGUAGACUACCUGAGAGGCUAACAGGACACACCGCAACGGGAGUACGGCACGGACUCCUAUGGGAGGCAGAAGUGGGGAAUAGAGCCCUGUGGACUGAAGGAUGAUGCAGCGAAGCCGCGUGCGGGAUAAGGGCAUUCGGGUUGGAUUCUGCUUUUGUUUGUGAGGAAGCGUGAAUGACGGUACUGGGUAAAGAAGCACCGGCUAACUACGUG